GACUGUACCGGUGGAGGAAGCCACGGCUAACUCUGUGCCAGCAGCCGCGGUAAUACAGAGGUGGCAAGCGUUGUUCGGAAUUACUGGGCGUAAAGGGUGCGUAGGCGGUUUAUCAAGUCAGGGGUGAAAGGCUACGGCUCAACCGUAGUGAGCCUCUGAAACUGGUGAACUUGAGUGUAGGAGAGGAAAGUGGAAUUCCCAGUGUAGCGGUGAAAUGCGUAGAUAUUGGGAGGAACACCAGUGGCGAAGGCGACUUUCUGGACUACAACUGACGCUGAGGCACGAAAGCGUGGGGAGCAAACAGGAUUAGAUACCCUGGUAGUCCACGCUGUAAACGAUGAGUACUAGGUGUCGGCUGUCAAAGGUCGGUGCCGGCGUUAACACAUUAAGUACUCCGCCUGGGGAGUACGCUCGCAAGAGUGAAACUCAAAGGAAUUGACGG
RNAcentral lists this ribosomal RNA (442 nucleotides) under uncultured bacterium. RNAcentral describes it as "bacterial SSU rRNA". It matches the Rfam family "Bacterial small subunit ribosomal RNA", at positions 471 to 916 of the family's 1533-position model. The record is from RNAcentral.